RNAcentral lists this microRNA precursor (199 nucleotides) under Oryza brachyantha (malo sina). RNAcentral describes it as "pre miRNA MIR159". It matches the Rfam family "MIR159 microRNA precursor family". Lineage: Eukaryota; Viridiplantae; Streptophyta; Magnoliopsida; Poales; Poaceae. The record is from Rfam by way of RNAcentral.
AUGGAUGGAAGAGAGCGUCCUUCAGUCCACUCAUGGGCGAUGCUAGGGUUCGAAUUAGCUGCCGACUCAUUCACCCACAUGCCAAGCAAACAACUCUCCCAGCGGGAGAGCUUAGCAGAUGAGUGAAUGAAGCGGGAGGUAACGUUCUGAUCUCGCAUCGUCUUUGCUUGGACUGAAGGGUGCUCCCUCCUCCUCCUCC